This 428-nucleotide ribosomal RNA is filed under the name Marinobacter alkaliphilus. RNAcentral's name for it is "bacterial SSU rRNA". It matches the Rfam family "Bacterial small subunit ribosomal RNA", at positions 56 to 476 of the family's 1533-position model. The record is from RNAcentral. Lineage: Bacteria; Pseudomonadati; Pseudomonadota; Gammaproteobacteria; Pseudomonadales; Marinobacteraceae.
UGCAGUCGAGCGGUAACAGGGGGUGCUUGCACCCCGCUGACGAGCGGCGGACGGGUGAGUAAUGCUUAGGAAUCUGCCCAGUAGUGGGGGAUAGCCCGGGGAAACCCGGAUUAAUACCGCAUACGUCCUACGGGAGAAAGCAGGGGAUCUUCGGACCUUGCGCUAUUGGAUGAGCCUAAGUCGGAUUAGCUAGUUGGUGGGGUAAAGGCCUACCAAGGCGACGAUCCGUAGCUGGUCUGAGAGGAUGAUCAGCCACAUCGGGACUGAGACACGGCCCGAACUCCUACGGGAGGCAGCAGUGGGGAAUAUUGGACAAUGGGGGCAACCCUGAUCCAGCCAUGCCGCGUGUGUGAAGAAGGCUUUCGGGUUGUAAAGCACUUUCAGCGAGGAGGAAGGCCUUAAAGUUAAUACCUUUGAGGAUUGACGUU